CGGACGGGUGAGUAACGCGUGGGUGACCUGCCCCAUACCGGGGGAUAACAGCUGGAAACGGCUGCUAAUACCGCAUAAGCGCACAGAGCUGCAUGGCUCGGUGUGAAAAACUCCGGUGGUAUGGGAUGGGCCCGCGUCUGAUUAGGCAGUUGGCGGGGUAACGGCCCACCAAACCGACGAUCAGUAGCCGGCCUGAGAGGGCGACCGGCCACAUUGGGACUGAGACACGGCCCAA
Molecule: ribosomal RNA, 235 nt
Filed under: uncultured bacterium
Lineage: Bacteria
Description: partial 16S ribosomal RNA
Rfam family: Bacterial small subunit ribosomal RNA
Source: RNAcentral